RNAcentral lists this ribosomal RNA (450 nucleotides) under uncultured Glomus. RNAcentral's name for it is "SSU rRNA". It matches the Rfam family "Eukaryotic small subunit ribosomal RNA", at positions 569 to 1026 of the family's 1831-position model. The record is from RNAcentral. Lineage: Eukaryota; Fungi; Glomeromycota; Glomeromycetes; Glomerales; Glomeraceae.
AGCAGCCGCGGUAAUUCCAGCUCCAAUAGCGUAUAUUAAAGUUGUUGCAGUUAAAAGCUCGUAGUUGAAUUUCGGGAUCAAUACGUCGGUCGUGCUUAGGUACGUACUGGCGUAAUUGAUUUCUCCCUUCUGACGAACCAUGAUGUCAUUAACUUGGUGUCAUGGGAAAUCAGGACUGUUACUUUGAAAAAUUAGAGUGUUUAAAGCAGGCUCACGCUUGAAUACAUUAGCAUGGAAUAAUGAAAUAGGACGUUCGAUCCUAUUUUGUUGGUUUUUAGGAUCAACGUAAUGAUUAAUAGGGAUAGUUGGGGGCAUUAGUAUUCAAUUGUCAGAGGUGAAAUUCUUGGAUUUAUUGAAGACUAACUACUGCGAAAGCAUUUGCCAAGGAUGUUUUCAUUAAUCAAGAACGAAAGUUAGGGGAUCGAAGACGAUCAGAUACCGUCGUAGUCU